This 254-nucleotide ribosomal RNA is filed under the name uncultured bacterium. Its description in RNAcentral is "partial 16S ribosomal RNA". It matches the Rfam family "Bacterial small subunit ribosomal RNA", at positions 524 to 776 of the family's 1533-position model. The record is from RNAcentral.
UACGUAGGGUGCGAGCGUUGUCCGGAAUUAUUGGGCGUAAAGAGCUCGUAGGCGGUGUGUCGCGUCGGCCGUGAAAACCUGGGGCUCAACUCUGGGCGUGCGGUCGAUACGGGCAUCACUGGAGUUCGGCAGGGGAGACUGGAAUUCCUGGUGUAGCGGUGAAAUGCGCAGAUAUCAGGAGGAACACCGGUGGCGAAGGCGGGUCUCUGGGCCGAUACUGACGCUGAGACGCGAAAGCUAGGGGAGCGAACAGG